RNAcentral lists this ribosomal RNA (397 nucleotides) under uncultured bacterium. RNAcentral describes it as "partial 16S ribosomal RNA". It matches the Rfam family "Bacterial small subunit ribosomal RNA", at positions 523 to 918 of the family's 1533-position model. The record is from RNAcentral.
AUACGUAGGGGGCGAGCGUUGUCCGGAAUGAUUGGGCGUAAAGGGCGCGUAGGCGGCGCGGUAAGUCUGGAGUGAAAGUCCUGCUUUCAGGGUGGGAAUUGCUUUGGAUACUGCCGCGCUUGAGUGCAGGAGAGGUUAUCGGAAUUCCCGGUGUAGCGGUGAAAUGCGUAGAGAUCGGGAGGAACACCAGUGGCGAAGGCGGGUAACUGGACUGCAACUGACGCUGAGGCGCGAAAGUGUGGGGAGCAAACAGGAUUAGAUACCCUGGUAGUCCACACUGUAAACGAUGAAUGCUAGGUGUAAGAGGUAUCGACCCCUUUUGUGCCGGAGUCAACACAAUAAGCAUUCCGCCUGGGGAGUACGGCUGCAAGGUUGAAACUCAAAGGAAUUGACGGGG